UAAAGGGAAGGAUUUGACUGAUUGCAACCCUUUUAUACUUUUAAAAAGUAUAAGAAAAAUGCUAAAGCAGUAU
RNAcentral lists this non-coding RNA (73 nucleotides) under Salegentibacter mishustinae. Lineage: Bacteria; Pseudomonadati; Bacteroidota; Flavobacteriia; Flavobacteriales; Flavobacteriaceae. The record is from RNAcentral.